CUGUUACCCUGAAGGAUCUGGAGGUAAGAGGCCCUGGGCCAAGGUGCAGUGACCCUGCAGGCCAGCCCUCCAACCUCCUUUCACAGCAGGGGCUAGGUGCCCCUCUGCCAGCUGAGACAGCCCACACACACCCCAGCCCUAAUGAUUGUUCUCUCCACCUCUCCCCACAAUCCUCCUCCAACUCCUCCUCUCUGCAUGCGCCUCAGAGUCGGUACCAAGAACUGGAAUUAGCCCUGGACUCAAGCUCCGCAAUAAUCAAUCAACUCAAUGAAAACAUAGAAUCAUUGAAACAACAGAAGAAACAAGUGGAACAUCAGCUGGAAGAAGAAAAGAAAACCAACAGUGAAAUACACAAAGCACAGAUGGAGCAGUUAGAGGCAAUCGACAUCCUCACAUUGGAAAAGGCAGACUUGAAGACCACCCUUUACCAUACUAAACGUGCUGCCCGACACUUCGAAGAAGAGUCCAAGGAUCUGGCUGGCCGCCUGCAAUACUCCUUACAGCGUAUUCAAGAAUUGGAGCGGGCUCUCUCUGCUGUGUCUACACAGCAGCAGGAAGAGGACAGGUCCUCGAGCUGCAGAGAAGCGGUCCUCCAGUGGCGGUUACAGCAGACCAUAAAGGAGCAGGCACUGCUGAACGCACACGUGACACAGGUGACAGAGUCACUUAAACAAGUCCAGCUAGAGAGAGAUGAAUAUGCUCAACAUAUAAAAGAAGAGAGGGCCCGGUGGCAGGAGAGGAUGUGGAAAAUGUCGGUGGGGCUGAGCCCCCAUCCCCGGCACCCCCAGCAGUGACCUCUGUGGUGGAGCAGCUACAAGAUGAGGCCAAACACCUGAGGAAGGAGGUGGAGAGUUUGGAGGGAAAGCUCCAAUCCAAGGUGGAAAACAACCAGGCCUUGAGUCUCCUGAGCAAGGAACAAAAGUAGAGGCUCCAGGAGCAGGACGAGAGGCUCCGAGAGCAGGAGGAGUGGAGGGUGCGGGAGCAGGAGAGACUGUGUGAGCAAAAUGAGAGGCUUCGGGAGCAGCAGAAGACGCUACGGGAGCAGGGUGAGAGGCUGCGAAAGCAGGAGCAGAGGCUAUGCAAGCAGGAGGAGAGGCUGCGAAAGGAGGAGGAGAGGCUGCGAAAGCAGGAAAAGAGGCUGUGGGACCAGGAGGAGAGGCUGUGGGACCAGGAGGAGAGGCUGUGGGAGAAGGAGGAGAGGCUACAAAAGCAGGAGGAGAGGCUCAUGCUCUCCCAGAACCACAAGCUCGACAAGCAGCUGGCCGAGCCACAGUGCAGCUUCGAGGAUCUGGUGGGUUGCCCCACCUGGGGAGCCUGCCC
RNAcentral lists this long non-coding RNA (1320 nucleotides) under Homo sapiens (human). RNAcentral describes it as "non-protein coding lnc-ODF3L1-4:2". Lineage: Eukaryota; Metazoa; Chordata; Mammalia; Primates; Hominidae. The record is from RNAcentral.